RNAcentral lists this ribosomal RNA (253 nucleotides) under uncultured bacterium. Its description in RNAcentral is "partial 16S ribosomal RNA". It matches the Rfam family "Bacterial small subunit ribosomal RNA", at positions 524 to 776 of the family's 1533-position model. The record is from RNAcentral.
UACGUAGGGGGCUAGCGUUGUCCGGAAUCAUUGGGCGUAAAGCGCGUGUAGGCGGUCCGGUAAGUCCGCUGUGAAAGUCGGGGGCUCAACCCUCGGAUGCCGGUGGAUACUGUCGGGCUUGAGUACGGAAGAGGCGAGUGGAAUUCCUGGUGUAGCGGUGAAAUGCGCAGAUAUCAGGAGGAACACCGAUUGCGAAGGCAGCUCGCUGGGACGUAACUGACGCUGAGACGCGAAAGCGUGGGGAGCAAACAGG